Molecule: long non-coding RNA, 562 nt
Filed under: Homo sapiens (human)
Lineage: Eukaryota; Metazoa; Chordata; Mammalia; Primates; Hominidae
Description: non-protein coding lnc-FTH1-1:1
Source: RNAcentral
CAUUAAUUUCAAAGAUCACCCGUGACAGCUUUGCUGCUGGUAGAAUCACAGCAACUACUUUGAAAGCACCCUCGGCCAACUCCAGUGGCUUGAAGCCCACCGAAGUUGGGUGCUGGCUCGCCUUCAGGAUUCAGGGCUGCAGGAAGUGCUCUCCACCUGCAGGGAUAUUUCAGAAGCCUCAGCAAGUGGAAUCUUGGAGCUCUUCUUCCUGCAUGCUUCGAGAUUAAGGUUGUCCUCAAACAUCGCAGGCUGUGGCUCUCGUUAACCUUCUGGAAGCGGGGGAUUCCAAGUACCUAGACUCUGAGUUUACAUGGCCUCAAGGGUUUUCAAGAAAUGAUUUCAGGACAAGCUCUGUGAGUAUGAUUGCAUCAUCCAGAAAUGUACCCAAAUACUGAUUUAGUAUUGUUUUUCCUUUGGUCUGAAUUUCAAAACUCGAAUUUCCUGCUUUACUUCACUUCACUUCAGGGGAAAUCCCAGACAUUUAAAACAUCAGCUCUUCAGUUAAAAUACCACGUAACCCAUUCUCUCCCAAUCCUCAUCUAUGUCUCCAGCCCUGAGGUUU